Vidua macroura (Pin-tailed whydah) is the source of this 267-nucleotide long non-coding RNA. RefSeq lists it as uncharacterized. The record is from RefSeq and is a predicted model, not a curated record. The transcript has 3 exons. NCBI's taxonomy places the organism in Eukaryota, Metazoa, Chordata, Aves, Passeriformes, Viduidae.
CACCUGUCAAAGAAAGUGUCAUUGCUGAGAGAGGGGCAGGAGCUGUAGGGUGGUCAAAUACUGGCACAGGUAGCCCAGAGAGCUGGUAGGGUUUCCAUCCUCAGAACUACCCAAAAACCAACAGGCAGAGGCCCAGGCAACCUGUUCUAACUAAGCCUGCCUGAGCAAGGGACUGCGCUGUACAGGCUCCAGCAGUGCCUUCCACCUCCAGCGUUCUGUGAUUGUCUGCCAGCAGCAAGGAACUCACCUGUCCUUGAUCAUGCUGAA